GACGAACGCUGGCGGCGUGCUUAACACAUGCAAGUCGAACGGUAAGGCCCUUCGGGGUACACGAGUGGCGAACGGGUGAGUAACACGUGGGUGAUCUGCCCUGCACUUCGGGAUAAGCCUGGGAAACUGGGUCUAAUACCGGAUAGGACCACUGCCUGCAUGGGUGGUGGUGGAAAGCUUUUGCGGUGUGGGAUGGGCCCGCGGCCUAUCAGCUUGUUGGUGGGGUGAUGGCCUACCAAGGCGACGACGGGUAGCCGGCCUGAGAGGGUGACCGGCCACACUGGGACUGAGAUACGGCCCAGACUCCUACGGGAGGCAGCAGUGGGGAAUAUUGCACAAUGGGCGCAAGCCUGAUGCAGCGACGCCGCGUGAGGGAUGACGGCCUUCGGGUUGUAAACCUCCUUCAGCAUCGACGAAGCGCAAGUGACAGUAGGUGCAGAAGAAGGACCGGCCAACUACGUGCCAGCCGCCGCAGUAA
RNAcentral lists this ribosomal RNA (478 nucleotides) under uncultured bacterium. RNAcentral's name for it is "partial 16S ribosomal RNA". It matches the Rfam family "Bacterial small subunit ribosomal RNA", at positions 28 to 523 of the family's 1533-position model. The record is from RNAcentral.